This 443-nucleotide ribosomal RNA is filed under the name uncultured bacterium. RNAcentral describes it as "partial 16S ribosomal RNA". It matches the Rfam family "Bacterial small subunit ribosomal RNA", at positions 338 to 795 of the family's 1533-position model. The record is from RNAcentral.
CCUACGGGAGGCAGCAGUGGGGAAUAUUGGGCAACGGAGGAAACUCUGACCCAGCACCGCCGCGUGAAUGUUGAAGGUCUUCGGAUGGAAAAGUUCUUUUCUAAGGGAAGAAGAAAGUGACGGUACCUAAGGAAUACGCCUCGGCUAACUACGUGCCAGCAGCCGGGGUAAUACGUAGGAGGCAGGCGUUAUCCGGAAGGACUGGGCGUAAAGGGUGCGUAGGCGGUCGGAUAAGUUAGAGGUGAAAUCCCGAGGCUCAACUUCGGAAUUGCCUCUGAUAAUGUUCGGCUAGAGAGUAGUUGCGGUAGGCGGAAUGUAUGGUGUAGCGGUGAAAUGCUUAGAGAUCAUACAGAACACCGAUUGCGAAGGCAGCUUACCAAGCUACUUCUGACGUUGAGGCACGAAAGCGUGGGGAGCAAACAGGAUUAGAUACCCCAGUAGUC